GCCAUCGUGGCGCAAUGGUAGCGCAUCACCUUCCUAAUAUUAGGAAGUGUAAAACAGGUGGGGGUUGCGGGUUCGAUCCCCGUCGGUGGUA
This is a non-coding RNA of Lentinus tigrinus ALCF2SS1-7, 91 nucleotides long. Lineage: Eukaryota; Fungi; Basidiomycota; Agaricomycetes; Polyporales; Polyporaceae. The record is from the annotation of a GenBank genome assembly.